RNAcentral lists this small nucleolar RNA (90 nucleotides) under Nomascus leucogenys (northern white-cheeked gibbon). RNAcentral describes it as "Small nucleolar RNA MBII-202 (ENSNLEG00000021376.2)". Lineage: Eukaryota; Metazoa; Chordata; Mammalia; Primates; Hylobatidae. The record is from RNAcentral.
UGAUGACACUCUCUGGAAUUGUUACACUACCAUAAUUAAAGUGCACUGAAUCUUUUUCUCUCUGAUGGCAGGGGAGGGAAUAAAAUAAUU